Molecule: long non-coding RNA, 1958 nt
Filed under: Cricetulus griseus (Chinese hamster)
Lineage: Eukaryota; Metazoa; Chordata; Mammalia; Rodentia; Cricetidae
Description: lncRNA (ENSCGRG00015038505.1)
Source: RNAcentral
GUUUAACAAUGUGCUUAGGUUUAAGAAAGAAAAGAAAAAGGGUAUAGAUGGUCAGAAAAGUAAAUAAUUUGCUGCAUACACCUUUAGUCCCAGCACUCUGGGCAGAGACAGGCAGGUCUCUGUGAGUUCAAGGCCAGCUGGUCUACGAAGCAAGUUCCAGGACAGGCUCCAAAGCUACAGAAAAACCCUGUCUUGAAAAACAAAAACAAAAAAGUAAAUUAAGAACAAUAAAGUAAAGUAUUUAAAGAGAGAAGUAAAGUAAUAUAUAAAAAAAGAAUAAGCCACAUAGAGAUGGGAAAUACACAGGGAGUCUGGGUCCUGUAUGUUGCUGUAUUAACCUUAAAUUUUUUUAUUUCUGCUAAGCAAAUUACAGCUGCUAAGAGACAUGGGAUUGAAAGAGGGACUGGUGAAAUAAGCCAGUCUAUAUACUUUGGGAAUGCCUUGACUUUAAAAUGGAAGUAAAAAAUGUAUUUGUCAAAUGGAAGUAAAAAAAAAAAAUGCUUUGGGGGAGAGGUUAUGCUUUUGUUUCCACGGGAAAUGAGAGGUUUCGAAUUCCUCCAGGAUUAAUAUCGAUCAGGUUUGAUGAGGGGGAGACCUGAAUCUUAACAGGUAUGAUAUCUGUAAGAGAAAAUGCUCACCACGCCCAUUUGGGGGCUGGACAAGGCGUCGCUGACCACGCCCACUUGGGCUUGGUCAGAGUGACUUAGCAAGGGUUUGAAUAUCAGGGAUGCAAUACACACACGUGGCUCUCUUUUUCCCUCUCCCACCUGGCUGAGCAAACGAGCAGGCAUCCAGUGUAAACCUGGUCACUGGCUCCAUUGGGGACUCCUAAAGAUGCCUUCACAACAGGAAGCAGUCUAGAAAACUUGAUGCCCACAUUCCCAAGAGGGUUUCUUUGUAGCUUUGUAGCCUGCCCUGGACUCACUCUGUAGACCAGGCUGGCCUCAAACUAACAGAGAUUGGCCUGUUUCUGCUACCCGAGUGCUGGGAUUAAAGGCGUGUGCCGCCACUGUCCCACCUCUUAAUAGAUCACCAUGAGGAUUAAAUUCAAUGAUGUAGUCCCUGAGCGGGAGAGCACCCAUAUGAGGCUUGAAACCACAGCCUGAGCGAGGGCAGACGAGAUGCUGAGAUGGGCAGUGCCCCUGCGUCGUUGCUUCUUCCUGGGGAGACCUGGUUCCAUCUCCACCCUCCCACUCCUUGGGAACACGGGACACAGAGCCUGUGGACAUCCCAAGCCAUGCAUUCAAGCCCCAUCUACACUUCCACUAACUGCUAUUAUGUCUUACGAAUGCUAUCUGACCAAGUAAAGGAGGACUGGCAUCGUGCAUACGUUUAGGGUGGUCUGGUGGAUGUUUAUGUGUCUGUGUCUGUCCGGAGUACUUGUGGCGCUGCAGGUGGAGGGCCAGGCCUGCAUGUUCACAGCUGUCCACUAGGUGGCGCCCACGUUCCGCGGAGAGGCCACCAUGGAAGGAGCGUCCACUCUCAGGCUGGCUGAGGCUAUCCCCUCUGCUCCGAAAAAAAAAGAAAGGGAGAUUGUGGAAGGAGAUUGCUUAAUCUCUAAAAUCCCGGUUCCAUAAUACCAAGCCUCUCUUUAGACUUCAUGAGCACGAGAUGAGGUGCUUUUCUCUAGCUAAGCGGCCUAGAGCCACUCAGAGGCAAGGGUUUGGACUCUGACUUUUGUCCCUUCAGACAUCUGAAGCUUCCAGGAAGUAUGUGAGCUAAGGGCACAACAUGAAACCUGGAUCCAUAAAUACAGUUGCAAGACCGCCUUAAUGAGUGAAUACACCUGUUCUUAGAGUCUCUCAAGACAGCUUGGAUGCCAUUUCCCCAGAGCCCAGAGCCCUCCUGCAGUACACACUUAGCAAUCUCUGGCUAAAGAUGGAGUGUCUUCCAACUGCAGACAGGUCUUGCUUUGUAGCCCAGGCUGACCUAGAACUUGCAGUCCUCUGACACCAGCC